This 468-nucleotide ribosomal RNA is filed under the name uncultured bacterium. RNAcentral describes it as "partial 16S ribosomal RNA". It matches the Rfam family "Bacterial small subunit ribosomal RNA", at positions 28 to 507 of the family's 1533-position model. The record is from RNAcentral.
GACGAACGCUGGCGGCGUGCUUAACACAUGCAAGUCGAACGGAAAGGCCCUGCUUUUGUGGGGUGCUCGAGUGGCGAACGGGUGAGUAACACGUGAGUAACCUGCCCUUGACUUUGGGAUAACUUCAGGAAACUGGGGCUAAUACCGGAUAGGAGCUCCUGCUGCAUGGUGGGGGUUGGAAAGUUUCGGCGGUUGGGGAUGGACUCGCGGCUUAUCAGCUUGUUGGUGGGGUAGUGGCUUACCAAGGCUUUGACGGGUAGCCGGCCUGAGAGGGGGACCGGCCAAAUUGGGACUGAGAUACGGCCCAGACUCCUACGGGAGGCAGCAGUGGGGAAGAGUGCACAAUGGGCGGAAGCCUGAUGCAGCAACGCCGCGUGCGGGAUGACGGGCUUCGGGUUGUAAACCGCUUUCGCCUGUGACGAAGCGUGAGUGACGGUAAUGGGUAAAGAAGCACCGGCUAACUACGUG